RNAcentral lists this ribosomal RNA (492 nucleotides) under uncultured bacterium. Its description in RNAcentral is "partial 16S ribosomal RNA". It matches the Rfam family "Bacterial small subunit ribosomal RNA", at positions 29 to 507 of the family's 1533-position model. The record is from RNAcentral.
AGUGAACGCUGGCGGUAGGCCUAACACGUGCAAGUCGAACGGCAGCACAGUAAGAGCUUGCUCUUACGGGUGGCGAGUGGCGGACGUGUGAGGAAUACAUCGGAAUCUACUUUUUCGUGGGGGAUAACGUAGGGAAACUUACGCUAAUACCGCAUACGACCUACGGGUGAAAGCAGGGGAUCUUCGGACCUUGCGCGAUUGAAUGAGCCGAUGUCGGAUUAGCUAGUUGGCGGGGUAAAGGCCCACCAAGGCGACGAUCCGUAGCUGGUCUGAGAGGAUGAUCAGCCACACUGGAACUGAGACACGGUCCAGACUCCUACGGGAGGCAGCAGUGGGGAAUAUUGGACAAUGGGCGCAAGCCUGAUCCAGCCAUACCGCGUGGGUGAAGAAGGCCUUCGGGUUGUAAAGCCCUUUUGUUGGGAAAGAAAAGCAGCAGGUUAAUACCCCGCUGUCCUGACGGUACCCAAAGAAUAAGCACCGGCUAACUUCGUG